UACGUAGGGUGCAAGCGUUGUCCGGAAUUACUGGGCGUAAAGCGUGCGUAGGCGGUUUGUUAAGUCCGUUGUGAAAGCCCUGGGCUCAACCUGGGAAUUGCAGUGGAUACUGGCAAGCUAGAGUACGGUAGAGGAUGGUGGAAUUCCCGGUGUAGCGGUGAAAUGCGUAGAGAUCGGGAGGAACACCCGUGGCGAAGGCGGCCAUCUGGACCAGUACUGACGCUGAGGCACGAAAGCGUGGGGAGCAAACAGG
Molecule: ribosomal RNA, 253 nt
Filed under: uncultured bacterium
Lineage: Bacteria
Description: partial 16S ribosomal RNA
Rfam family: Bacterial small subunit ribosomal RNA
Source: RNAcentral